This 967-nucleotide long non-coding RNA is filed under the name Equus asinus (donkey). RNAcentral describes it as "lncRNA (ENSEASG00005036912.1)". Lineage: Eukaryota; Metazoa; Chordata; Mammalia; Perissodactyla; Equidae. The record is from RNAcentral.
GCAGCUGGGGAACUUUGGAAUUUCUUUAAGAAGCUAAGAGAUGUCUAUGAGGCAGCGUUUCUGAUUUAUACAUUAUUCUCUCCACGGAGGUACAACCGGCAAAACUCCAGGCACCUGGGAAAGCGCGGGGCUGUUCGCGGGUCGUCAGGCCGGGCUGCUCCGUUGGCUCAGCUGUUAAUACAGGCCAAGAGCUUCAGGCGCUUUCCAAUCCUGGCCCGGACAGGCAGGUUUAAUCCUCUCAUGUGCUGUGCAGGAACUUCUGCCUGAACUAGCUGCUCCUGCUCACUGAGGCGCACAAAGGCGGUCACACUGAAAUGAGCUUAUGUGUGGAGAUGACUGUUCAGAGCAGAGCCCGAGCUGAAGGGUAUGCUUCCUGGCCUGAGGCAUAAACACCACAUGUAUUUUUUCCCUUUCAGAAGGGAUAUUUUUCAUGCUCGUAAUGAAGUGUGGUCAGAACCUAUUUUCUUCUAGAAUAUUAGGUCAGGCAGAGGUUUGUCCUUCUUCUGUUUUGUACAUGCGAAUAAAAAUGGAAUAAACAAAGCAUACCGUUAAAUCUUUCACACAUAUGUCACUAGAGACAAUUCUAGAGCAGACUUUUUUCUGGGUUCCUCGUUGUUGGUUUAAGGGGAAAGGCAAGAGACUAGACUGCAUGCCUUUAGCCGUAUCUUCACGGUCUUUGGGUUGGGAAAAACAGAGAAAUCGUUUCUAAAAAUUAUCAGGAUUUCCACUUGGAAGUUAUUAGGUUUGGAGAAUAUGAGACUGCAAGAUGCUAAAAAUACAGAUUUUUUUUUUUUGUCUUACUUAUGAGGAGUCCCAUUUCUGUGACUUCUUUCCAAUUGACUGAAGAAUCAAGAAAAAUGUUAGAGACAGGCUUAAACCUCCCCUGUGGGGCGGCUCUGGCAAAGGCGUUUUCUGCGUCUGAAAUUCCCCAAGCCCUUACAUUGCAGAAGAUGAAGUGUGUGUGUGC